AACGAACGCUGGCGGCAUGCCUAACACAUGCAAGUCGAACGAGACCUUCGGGUCUAGUGGCGCACGGGUGCGUAACGCGUGGGAACCUGCCUUUAGGUUCGGAAUAACUCAGAGAAAUUUGAGCUAAUACCGGAUAAUGUCUUCGGACCAAAGAUUUAUCGCCUUUAGAUGGGCCCGCGUUGGAUUAGCUAGUUGGUGGGGUAAAGGCCUACCAAGGCGACGAUCCAUAGCUGGUCUGAGAGGAUGAUCAGCCACACUGGGACUGAGACACGGCCCAGACUCCUACGGGAGGCAGCAGUGGGGAAUAUUGGACAAUGGGCGAAAGCCUGAUCCAGCAAUGCCGCGUGAGUGAUGAA
RNAcentral lists this ribosomal RNA (356 nucleotides) under uncultured bacterium. RNAcentral's name for it is "bacterial SSU rRNA". It matches the Rfam family "Bacterial small subunit ribosomal RNA", at positions 29 to 412 of the family's 1533-position model. The record is from RNAcentral.